AUUGAACUGAAGAGUUUGAUCCUGGCUCAGAUUGAACGCUGGCGGCAUGCCUUACACAUGCAAGUCGAACGGCAGCACGGGUGCUUGCACCUGGUGGCGAGUGGCGAACGGGUGAGUAAUACAUCGGAACAUGUCCUGUAGUGGGGGAUAGCCCGGCGAAAGCCGGAUUAAUACCGCAUACGAUCUACGGAAGAAAGCGGGGGACCUUCGGGCCUCGCGCUAUAGGGUUGGCCGAUGGCUGAUUAGCUAGUUGGUGGGGUAAAGGCCUACCAAGGCGACGAUCAGUAGCUGGUCUGAGAGGACGACCAGCCACACUGGGACUGAGACACGGCCCAGACUCCUACGGGAGGCAGCAGUGGGGAAUUUUGGACAAUGGGCGAAAGCCUGAUCCAGCAAUGCCGCGUGUGUGAAGAAGGCCUUCGGGUUGUAAAGCACUUUUGUCCGGAAAGAAAUCCUGAGGGCUAAUAUCCUUCGGGGAUGACGGUACCGGAAGAAUAAGC
This 500-nucleotide ribosomal RNA is filed under the name Burkholderia glumae AU6208. RNAcentral describes it as "bacterial SSU rRNA". It matches the Rfam family "Bacterial small subunit ribosomal RNA", at positions 1 to 491 of the family's 1533-position model. The record is from RNAcentral. Lineage: Bacteria; Pseudomonadati; Pseudomonadota; Betaproteobacteria; Burkholderiales; Burkholderiaceae.